This is a long non-coding RNA of Cynara cardunculus var. scolymus (artichoke), 879 nucleotides long. RefSeq lists it as uncharacterized. The record is from RefSeq and is a predicted model, not a curated record. The transcript is spliced from 3 exons. Lineage: Eukaryota; Viridiplantae; Streptophyta; Magnoliopsida; Asterales; Asteraceae.
GAUCGGACUCUAAAUCGCUCAAGGUCACUCAACCUAAAUCAAGCUUGACCGGAUUGUAAAUCGCUGAAUGUUUGAUCGGAGUUUAAAUAGAACAGAUUGUUCACUCGCACAAAUCGAUCAACCGCAUUCUAAAUCUCUCAAAUCAGAAGGUUUAAGCAGUUUAGCGGGCUGUAUUGUAAGCAGAGUUCAUAAGACUGUUUAUCACACAAUCUUGGAAAGAAGGAUCAAUUUGAUUUGAACAGGAAACUAUUUUGCCUUCGGGAUUAUGAGCAGCAGCAAGACUGGAACAGCAGCCCAGGUGGGACAAAGUGAAUCACAGCCUGUCACAGUUUGUCACAAGCAGCAGCAGCAAGUGAUUUUUUUUCUGUCGAUUAGCAAGUUUGAGGACUGGAACAGAAGCUAUCUGGACAGGUUUCUAACAAAUGUACAUGUUGAUUGCUGUUGGAAUCAUAGACUCUGUGGAUUUCUGCAGCUGCAUUACCAGACCCAUCUGCAGUUGUUUGCUCUUACUAUUUCUUCAAGAAUUUGAGGCUUGAGUAAACUGUUUUAAACAGAUUUGGAGCAGAUUUGAUUUGGUUUUUUAGUUUUGAUUUAUUGUCUUUUGGUUGAGUUUGAGCACUGGAGCAGACGUUUGCUGUCAUUCAAGACGAAGCACAAUCAUAAACUGCUAGAGGAAGCUGCACAGAUACUUAUUAUUGGGUGUGAAUCGAGUUGUAAUAGCAAGCACUACAGCAGGUUUAGUAGCAGCAUUUCAACGACCGGAAGCCUAUUGAAGAUAACUGGGUUUGGGUUUGGACAAGAAUCUUUACUCAUAAUUCGAAGCACACCUGGCACAAUAUUUUUUGGACGAUUGAAUUGGGCUUGAAUCAGUUUGUUUUG